GUCUAUGAGUAAUUGAUUCUUGGUUUGAUUUAUUACUUAACAAACUUGCUCCAGGAAUGAGAUAGCUCAAAGAUGGGAACUACUUAUAUUAAAAUUCGUUUAGAAUCAAGGGUUUUUAGGCAGAAUAGGACCUGCUUGGUUAUUGACAUUUGCCACAGCUCGAUCUGCCACCUGGUGGAUAUUUUUGGUGUUAUUUCAAGAGUGAUCAUUUGUAUUUCAAAAUGGAGUAUAGAAGUUGCAAACUAUGUUCUGUUCCAUAAUGCUCAUUACAAGCUACAAAAGGAAUAAGUUUACAUGCAUUUCCAAAAGAAAAGAAAUUAAGAAAUUUGUGGAAGAUUAAAUUAAAAAUAGGAAAGGAUAUAA
This 363-nucleotide long non-coding RNA is filed under the name Androctonus crassicauda. The record is from RNAcentral. Lineage: Eukaryota; Metazoa; Arthropoda; Arachnida; Scorpiones; Buthidae.